AAUCCCGUAGCUCAGCCGGAUAGAGCGCAAGAUUCCUAACCUUGAGGCCGGUGGUUCAAACGCGCACGGGGUGGCCA
RNAcentral lists this transfer RNA (77 nucleotides) under Robiginitomaculum sp. Its description in RNAcentral is "tRNA-Arg". It matches the Rfam family "tRNA", at positions 1 to 61 of the family's 71-position model. From Rfam's summary of the family: Transfer RNA (tRNA) molecules are approximately 80 nucleotides in length. Their secondary structure includes four short double-helical elements and three loops (D, anti-codon, and T loops). The record is from RNAcentral. Lineage: Bacteria; Pseudomonadati; Pseudomonadota; Alphaproteobacteria; Maricaulales; Robiginitomaculaceae.